Molecule: ribosomal RNA, 169 nt
Filed under: uncultured bacterium
Lineage: Bacteria
Description: partial 16S ribosomal RNA
Rfam family: Bacterial small subunit ribosomal RNA
Source: RNAcentral
UCCUACGGGAGGCAGCAGUUGGGAAUCUUGGACAAUGGGGGAAACCCGUGAUCCAGCCAUGCCGCGUGAGUGAUGAAGGCCUUCGGGUUGUAAAGCUCUUUUACCCGGGAAGAUAAUGACUGUACCGGGAGAAUAAGCACCGGCUAACUUCGUGCCAGCAGCCGCGGUA